UCUGGCGGGUGAGGGAGAGAGAGAGAGAGGCAGAGGCACAGCAGCAACAGAGCACAGACAGGACGGUUGGACCAGGGCCUGGACACAGGCAGGAUGGUUGGAUCGCAGCUCGAGAGAGAGAGAUUUAUCAAAAAGGAAGGUUUUAAGCCUAAUCUUAAAGGUGGAGAGUGUGUCAGCUUCUCGAACCUGAAGAGGGAGCUGGUUCCAGAGGAGAGGAGCUUGGUAGCUAAAAGCUCUGCCUCCCGUUCUACAUUUAAACACUCUAGGAACCACAAGUAGCCCAGCGCUCUGAGAACGAAGCGUUCGGCUGGGAGCAUAAGGAACUAUGAGGUCUUUAAGAUAAGGAGCUUUAUCAUUGAGUACUUUGUAGUUCCACACGUCCCUCUGUGAAAACAUGAUGGAGACAGAUGACAGGUCGUAGAUCCUUUUGUGAACAGAUGUCAACGGGGUGGAGACUGGUGAACGACUUCCGAACUAAUAGGACGCUCUGACCCAACACUCUCAGCCUUACAGGAAACCCCUGCUUCCCUGUGGCUCACACACAGAUCUGAUGAAGGUUUGAUCAGAGGAUGUGAACCAGUGGUCAUCACACCUAAAUCUGACCACAGACCAUGUAAACAACAACACCCUCUUAAAGGAAGCCAUAGAUGGCGUUACUGCAGACACCACUAAGCUGCUGAAACAUUGAAUGCUACAGGCCACAAAGAGCCUGUCUUAAUUACAGUUUGUUCAGACUUAGGUUCUUUUUCUGGGUUAUUGUAAUUACAGCUGAUGGUAAAUCCAUCUCACUCAAAAGAGUUGAAGCAAUUUGAAACCUGCCUAAACCAUGCAUGUAUAAACAGCUUAAGUCAUUUCUAGGUAAUUGUUUUUAUUGUAUAAACUUCAUUCCUAACUUUUGCAAAAUGUUUAAUAAGAACAAAACAACCUAAAACACUCCCAUACACAAAAACUAAAACACAGCCAGUUCAUGAAAACAGACAAUUCUGGUUUGCCUUUGAAUUCAAUGGAAAAUCGUACACAUUUAAAAGAUUGUGUCAGGGAUAUUCAGAAAAUCCCACGAUCUACAAUAUGGCACUAAACGACAGCUUGGAUGAUCUUGUUUUGUCCCCAUCACCGCCCUACUGCAGUACGUUGAUGACUUGAUGAUCUGCAGUGAGGAUCAGGAAACUUGCACGGCAGACACGAUCAAGCUGAUGAAACACUUGCAUGCCGCAGGCCAUAAAGCGAGCCUGUCCAAAUUACAGUUUGUACAAACAAAGGUUACUGUCAGAUUUCGGCAAGGAUCGGACCCACAUGCACAGCGAUGACUCGGUAGACAGUGGAUAUAGUUAAGAAAGUCUUUAAUGACAGAAUCCAGGUCACAAAACGGUCCAGGUCAUUCACAGAGUAGCAACACCACAGGGCUUAGGCAAAAUCGGGUCCGAGGACAGGCGGGAGUCAAAACCAGAAAGGGCUCAGAUCACAGGAACAGAAUCGGCGGGCGUAGACAGGUCCAGAAACGAGCAGAGUUCAGUAACAGAGUGACUUACGAGAGUGGUCAGAAUCAGAUGAGAAGCAAAGGUCACAAACGUAACAGGGUCGAUAACAGGGUAAGCUGAACUAGACGAAUGCUGGAACGUGAGAACAAUGAAUCAGUAAACAACGAUCUGGCGGAGAACUGAUGUGACAGGUGGUGGUUAAAUACACGGAGUAGAUCACUGAUACAAAACAGGUGAGUGUAAUGAGGACCGGGAGUGAAGCGGGAACUGCUGUGGUGUGAUGAGAAACGGAAGUGCUUACAAAAUAAAACCGGAAACUGGGAUCAAAAACAGAAGAGUCCUUUCAAAAUAAAACCAAGAACGAAAACCUGACAGUACCCCUCCCUCUAGGGCGUCUUCCACGGCGCCCACGGAAGCCCCCCCCCCGAAGUAGGGCGGGCGGAGGGUGGACACAGGAGGAGGGAC
Betta splendens (Siamese fighting fish) is the source of this 1943-nucleotide long non-coding RNA. RefSeq lists it as uncharacterized. The transcript has 3 exons. Lineage: Eukaryota; Metazoa; Chordata; Actinopteri; Anabantiformes; Osphronemidae. The record is from RefSeq and is a predicted model, not a curated record.